Sapajus apella (tufted capuchin) is the source of this 1286-nucleotide long non-coding RNA. RefSeq lists it as uncharacterized. Lineage: Eukaryota; Metazoa; Chordata; Mammalia; Primates; Cebidae. The record is from RefSeq and is a predicted model, not a curated record. The transcript has 2 exons.
GUAGCUGGGUUUACAGGCACCUGCCACCACACCUGGCUAGAUUACAUAUUUCCAUAAUACAUUUAUUUUCACUUCUUAUAAAUUAUAGUCCAGUAUGCCAAAUAAAUUCCACUACCUGUUCUGUACCUCAUUGAAACAUAAUAUGACAAGCAAGUGUAUAGAGAUCACUGAACAAAAAUGGCAUUUUCCCACAGAGUAACUCCCUUCGUACUGUGUUAAUAAGUUCUUUAAAAAGAAAAGUUCUUUAUUUAAAUAGAAAAAGAAUAUCUAAAUUGCCAGAACGUGCAGCAGAAUGUUUUUCUUGAUUUGAAAUUUCUGUACUGACACUUAGGAAAAAGCAUAAGAAUGUAAUAAUUUAUUUUAAAUACUCUGAAAUAAACUAUUUAUUUCUUCCAAUAAUAGCAGUUUUCCAGAUUAAUUUACUACUCAGGCUUAUGUUGGUUUUUGGGAUUUCUAGAAGAGAUGACAUGUUAUAUAUAAAACACCAUAAAAUACACGUUAUUUUUAUAUAAAAUACUACUUAACUACUUAAAAUACCACAUACAUAAGAAAGUGAACAUUUGUGGCAGAGUUAUAUACUAAAGCCUAUCUCACAAAUAGGUAGUAUUGCUGUGUUUCAGAAGUUGAGCUUUUAGGGCAUGUGUUUAGAGCAUAUUUCUCAGAAAACUUCUGGCAAAUGAUGAUUAAGUGCCCAGGCAACUUUGCUAAUGCUGGGACUCUGAUGGCCAGAAGUUGCCCUGUCUUCGGCAGAUGCAUUGUUAUGAAUUGCAAAUAAUAUACAGGUAAAAGAGUCUUUUAGGCUGUGCAUGGUGGCUCGUACUAGUAAUCCCAGCGCUUUGGGAGGCCGAGGUGUUUGAACCAGAGCAACUCCAUCUUGAGUAGGGGCUGUGUAAAAUAAGGCUGAGACCUACUGGGCUGCAUUCCCAAAUGAUUAAAGCAUUCUAAGUCACAGAUUGAGAUACGAAGUCGGCACAAGAUACAAGUUAUAAAGACCUUCCUGAUACAAACAGGUUGCAGUAAAGAAGAUGGCUAAAACACACCGAAAUCAAGAUGGCAACAAGAGUGACCUCUUGUCCUCAACUGCUACACUUUCACCAGUGCCAUGACAGUUUACAAAUUUCAUGGCAACGUCAGAAAGUUACCUUAUAUGGUCUAAAAGGGGAGACAUGAAUUAUCGACCCCUUGUUUAGCAUAUAAUCAAGAAAUAAACAUAAAAAUGGGCAACCAGCAGCUGUCAAGGCUGCUCUGUCUAUAGAGUAGCCAUUAUUUUAUUCCUCUACUUUCUU